Molecule: microRNA precursor, 210 nt
Organism: Oryza sativa Japonica Group (Japanese rice)
Lineage: Eukaryota; Viridiplantae; Streptophyta; Magnoliopsida; Poales; Poaceae
Rfam family: MIR812 microRNA precursor family
Source: Rfam
AAUAAGUGUAGUUUUAACACUGUUCAUGCUCAACGUUUGUCCGUUCGUCUUAUUUGAAAAAUAAUUAUGAUUAGUAAUUUUAUUGUUAUUAGAUGAUAAUAGAUGAAUAGUAUUUUAUGUGUGACUAAUAUUUUUAAUUUUUUUCAUAAAAUUUUUAAAUAUGAUAGACGAUCAAAACGCUGGACUCGAAUAUCUAUAGCUGCACUUAUU